Molecule: ribosomal RNA, 260 nt
Filed under: uncultured prokaryote
Description: partial 16S ribosomal RNA
Rfam family: Bacterial small subunit ribosomal RNA
Source: RNAcentral
UACGUAGGGUGCGAGCGUUGUCCGGAAUUACUGGGCGUAAAGAGCUCGUAGGUGGUUUGUCGCGUCGUCUGUGAAAUUCCGGGGCUUAACCUCGGGCGUGCAGGCGAUACGGGCAAUACUUGAGUGCUGUAGGGGAGACUGGAAUUCCUGGUGUAGCGGUGGAAUGCGCAGAUAUCAGGAGGAACACCGAUGGCGAAGGCAGGUCUCUGGGCAGUUACUGACGCUGAGGAGCGAAAGCAUGGGUAGCGAACAGGAUUAGA